GUCUGUUGUUAUGAUGCUGCAGUGACUGACAAACACGACACGCGUUCAGGUGCACACAACCAAGUGUGCAGACACAAACAUCGCUGUUUGUGCGGGACCGCUCCGGAGAGCCGCGUCCCGCCAGCCGGCCCGCAGGCCGGCGGCUUUGCGUGGCCUUGCGGCCGAUUUGUUAAUGAUCCUUCCGCAGGUUCACCUACGGAAA
RNAcentral lists this unclassified non-coding RNA (202 nucleotides) under uncultured fungus. Its description in RNAcentral is "sequence contains ITS1". Lineage: Eukaryota; Fungi. The record is from RNAcentral.